Molecule: ribosomal RNA, 497 nt
Filed under: uncultured bacterium
Lineage: Bacteria
Description: partial 16S ribosomal RNA
Rfam family: Bacterial small subunit ribosomal RNA
Source: RNAcentral
GAUGAACGCUGGCGGCGUGCCUAAUACAUGCAAGUCGAGCGAACGGACGAGAAGCUUGCUUCUCUGAUGUUAGCGGCGGACGGGUGAGUAACACGUGGAUAACCUACCUAUAAGACUGGGAUAACUUCGGGAAACCGGAGCUAAUACCGGAUGAUAUUUUGAACCGCAUGGUUCAAAAGUGAAAGACGGUCUUGCUGUCACUUAUAGAUGGAUCCGCGCUGCAUUAGCUAGUUGGUAAGGUAACGGCUUACCAAGGCAACGAUGCAUAGCCGACCUGAGAGGGUGAUAGGCCACACUGGAACUGAGACACGUUCAAGACGCCUAAGGGAGGCAGCAGUAGGGAAUCGUCGGCAAUGGGCGAAAGCCUGACGGAGCAACGCCGCGUGAGUGAUGAAGGUCUUCGGAUCGUAAAACUCUGUUAUUAGGGAAGAACAGAUGUGUAAGGAAAUGUGCACAGCGUGACGGUACCUAAUCAGAAAGCCACGGCUAACUACGUG